UCAUCUUUUUCCUUCUCCUUCUACACCAACUUUUAUUCAAUUCUCAUAUUUCCUUAUCUGAUUUCCGUAAUCACAAAUGAAAGUAAAUGUUUUUUUUUUUCAAGCAAUAAAAAAGGUAUGGAGUCAAAGUCUUUUUCUUGUACUCCAUAUAUAACUGAAAAAUGCGUGGUCCACUUUUAAAAACUGUUAAAAUGCCUUCAUUGCAUGAUAUCCAACCGUUGUUCAUUCACAUUAUCUCCCUCACUUGGCUUUCCUCCAAACGUCACCUAAAACCAAAGUAAUCCCCGCACCCCACCCCCACUCUUUAAAUUAAAAAUAUCAGUAAUCUCUACUAUAUAAGAAGACACUUGUUUUGUAGUCAGUGCUUACUAACAUAACUCAAAUUCCUUUUUAGCCUUUCUCACCCUUGUAGCCUUGUAGAAUUUUGCUCUACUUUUUGGGUGCUAUUAAUAAAUUGAGAAGAAAAAUGAUGGGGUUUGAGAGACUAAUGGUGAAUUUGAAGACGAAAUUGAGGAGGUCCUUUAAAAUGAAGGAAUCAUACGACAAGAUUGAGAAGAGUGAAAGCAUGAGAGUGGAGAUUAGGAGCAAGAAGGCUCGUAAGCUCAUUGAACAGACUCUUAAAAUUGCUGAUUCCCCCAAAUCCAGAAGCUAUCCUUUCUAGUAUACUCCUAAUAAUCUCUUUACUACCUUGUAAUCACAAAUUUCCUGUCAUCUUUUAUGAUAAGAAAUCAAACUAAAUGCACAAGUUUAGUGGAA
Long non-coding RNA from Capsicum annuum, 756 nucleotides. RefSeq lists it as uncharacterized. NCBI's taxonomy places the organism in Eukaryota, Viridiplantae, Streptophyta, Magnoliopsida, Solanales, Solanaceae. The transcript has 2 exons. The record is from RefSeq and is a predicted model, not a curated record.